UGGGGAAUAUUGGGCAAUGGGCGAAAGCCUGACCCAGCAACGCCGCGUGAAGGAAGAAGGCCUUCGGGUUGUAAACUUCUUUUAUGAGGGGCGAAGGAAGUGACUGUACCUCAUGAAUAAGCCACGGCUAACUACGUGCCAGCAGCCGCGGUAAUACGUAGGUGGCAAGCGUUGUCCGGAUUUACUGGGUGUAAAGGGCGCGUAGGCGGACUGGCAAGUCAGAUGUGAAAUCCAUGAGCUCAACUCAUGAACUGCAUUUGAAACUGUUGGUCUUGAGUAUCGGAGAGGCAAGCGGAAUUCCUAGUGUAGCGGUGAAAUGCGUAGAUAUUAGGAGGAACACCAGUGGCGAAGGCGGCUUGCUGGACGACAACUGACGCUGAGGCGCGAAAGCGUGGGGAGCAAACAGG
This 407-nucleotide ribosomal RNA is filed under the name uncultured bacterium. Its description in RNAcentral is "bacterial SSU rRNA". It matches the Rfam family "Bacterial small subunit ribosomal RNA", at positions 355 to 776 of the family's 1533-position model. The record is from RNAcentral.